This 406-nucleotide ribosomal RNA is filed under the name uncultured bacterium. RNAcentral describes it as "partial 16S ribosomal RNA". It matches the Rfam family "Bacterial small subunit ribosomal RNA", at positions 29 to 526 of the family's 1533-position model. The record is from RNAcentral.
AUUGAACGCUGGCGGCAGGCCUAACACAUGCAAGUCGAGCGAGCGGCGGACGGGUGAGUAAUGUCUGGGAAACUGCCUGAUGGAGGGGGAUAACUACUGGAAACGGUAGCUAAUACCGCAUACCAUCAGGUGUUCGCAGGUGGGAUUAGCUAGUAGGUGGGGUAACGGGUCACUGAGGCGACGGUCCCUAGCUGGUCUGGGAGGAGGACCAGCCACACGGGAACUGAGACACGGUCCAGAGUCCAAAGGGAGGCAGCAGUGGGGAGUAUGGGACAAUGGGCGAAAGCCGGAUGCAGCAAGCACGCGUGUGUGAUGAAGGCCUUAGGGUUGUAAAGCACUUUCAGCGGGGGCGCGUUACCCGCAGAAGAAGCACCGGCUAACUCCGUGCCAGCCGCCGCGGUAAUAC